Molecule: ribosomal RNA, 615 nt
Filed under: Parahoeflea olei
Lineage: Bacteria; Pseudomonadati; Pseudomonadota; Alphaproteobacteria; Hyphomicrobiales; Rhizobiaceae
Description: bacterial SSU rRNA
Rfam family: Bacterial small subunit ribosomal RNA
Source: RNAcentral
GGGAGCGGCAGACGGGUGAGUAACGCGUGGGAAUCUACCCAUCUCUACGGAAUAACUCAGGGAAACUUGUGCUAAUACCGUAUACGCCCUUCGGGGGAAAGAUUUAUCGGAGAUGGAUGAGCCCGCGUUGGAUUAGCUAGUUGGUGGGGUAAAGGCCUACCAAGGCGACGAUCCAUAGCUGGUCUGAGAGGAUGAUCAGCCACACUGGGACUGAGACACGGCCCAGACUCCUACGGGAGGCAGCAGUGGGGAAUAUUGGACAAUGGGCGCAAGCCUGAUCCAGCCAUGCCGCGUGAGUGAUGAAGGCCCUAGGGUUGUAAAGCUCUUUCACCGGUGAAGAUAAUGACGGUAACCGGAGAAGAAGCCCCGGCUAACUUCGUGCCAGCAGCCGCGGUAAUACGAAGGGGGCUAGCGUUGUUCGGAAUUACUGGGCGUAAAGCGCACGUAGGCGGAUCGUUAAGUGAGGGGUGAAAUCCCAGGGCUCAACCCUGGAACUGCCUUUCAUACUGGCGAUCUUGAGUUCGAGAGAGGUGAGUGGAAUUCCGAGUGUAGAGGUGAAAUUCGUAGAUAUUCGGAGGAACACCAGUGGCGAAGGCGGCUCACUGGCUCGAUACU